GAUGAUAAAUUCUCAAUUUUUUUAAGAAAUUUUAUUAAAAUUGACAAUUUUUCUGCAACUUUACUUGUGCACUGUAAAGAAUGACGCAAUUUGUCCGAGUACAGUAGCUUGGGCGUGAAUGUGACGUAGGGUGAGGAACACGCCGCUUGCACCGCGCUCUUGUUUAUGUUUUAUUGACUAUCGGUGGAAGGCUAAACGUUGAAAACAUUACGAUAUUUUUCCAAAUAAACCGUUGUAUGAUGUCUGAGACUUCUUCCGUCACAGAAACAUCUUCUAUGUCGGACAAUGACUAUGAAUAUAACUUUAUUCCCGGCGAAUAUGUGUUUGAAGCCAAAUUUGCGCAUGACUACGACCAGUUGGAACAUGUGGUCGAAUCUCAUUCAGUCUCUUACUCAAACGAACCUCUUGCGGGCGAAGAAUGGAUCAUCAGCAGAAGCAAGAAGAUAAGGAAGUUAAAAUCAACAAAUUAAAAGACCGGUUUAAUGGAGGGGAAGAUCUGUCUAAUUGGUGCUCUUGCAGUAAUUGUGCGAAGGAACGCCUUAAUAACGAAAAUGAGUGUCUCUGUUGUAAAGAAAUGGACGAAUGUGUUGCUUGUCUAGAAGAUAAACUUGUUCUUCGAGACACCUUAACUGCUCAAGCAUGCAUUACCCAGCAUCCACCAUUUGAUACCAUUUGCCUAAAUGGUUGUCCUUAAGAUUAGCAGCAUUUAAAUAUAGGAAAUUGAACCAAAGACGAUAUCGACCAACAAGAUCAGAAGAAGUGUGACUAUUAAGUAUAUGUUACAUUUCAGGAAUGCAAGAAAUCUUUAAAAAGGUUUAUACUAUAUACUAAUGUAUAAUAGAAUGUAUGAUGCUAUAGUUCCACAUUCCCGCAAAGUGUGGCUUAUUGGGAAUUUAUUCAUCUUACCUGUGAUCGUGUUGAACGAAUAAGAAUUCCACUACCGGCAUGUGCGUACAACGUCAUCAGGAAAACAUUUCAACCAGCUGAUUCUAAUGAACUUUGAUAAUGAUUCAAAUGAAUGAAAUAUAAUUGCAAUAUGUAAAAACUUUGUUAAAAUAAGUGGUAUUGUAAAUUUAUAAAAUGAAUCAAACAGAUUA
Long non-coding RNA from Xenia sp. Carnegie-2017, 1097 nucleotides. RefSeq lists it as uncharacterized. The transcript has 2 exons. NCBI's taxonomy places the organism in Eukaryota, Metazoa, Cnidaria, Anthozoa, Malacalcyonacea, Xeniidae. The record is from RefSeq and is a predicted model, not a curated record.